Molecule: ribosomal RNA, 445 nt
Filed under: uncultured bacterium
Lineage: Bacteria
Description: partial 16S ribosomal RNA
Rfam family: Bacterial small subunit ribosomal RNA
Source: RNAcentral
GUGAGGAAUAUUGGUCAAUGGGCGAGAGCCUGAACCAGCCAAGUCGCGUGAAGGAUGAAGGUUUUAUGAAUUGUAAACUUCUUUUGCAGGGGAAUAAAGUACGGUACGUGUACCGUUUUGUAUGUACUCUGCGAAUAAGGAUCGGCUAACUCCGUGCCAGCAGCCGCGGUAAUACGGAGGAUCCAAGCGUUAUCCGGAUUUAUUGGGUUUAAUGGGUGCGCCGGCGGGUUGAUAAGUCAGCGGUGAAAGUUUGCAGCUUAAUUGUAAAAUUGCCGUUGAAACUGUCGAUCUUGAGUGCACAUGAGAUAAGCAGAAUGUGUUGUGUAGCGGUGAAAUGCUUAGAUAUAACACAGAACACCGAUUGCGAAGGCAGCUUACUGGGAUGCAACUGACGCUCAUGCACGAAAGCGUGGGGAUCAAACAGGAUUAGAAACCCUUGUAGUCC